GUGGGUUGAACCUGGUUCUAUGGCUAGCCAAACCUCGCGCUUUUAUGGCAAUGUUAAUAUAACACUAAAAUGACAACAUAACAUGACAGGACUACAGUAAAAAUAAAUGCAAGACUAUUCAGGACAGAGUAAUACACAAAUUUUCAAUACAAAAAUACAUUUCGACAGGCUAAUAGUUAUGAGAGGUACCAGGCUUAUAAUUUG
Molecule: long non-coding RNA, 204 nt
Filed under: Mytilus galloprovincialis (Mediterranean mussel)
Lineage: Eukaryota; Metazoa; Mollusca; Bivalvia; Mytilida; Mytilidae
Source: RNAcentral